This 731-nucleotide ribosomal RNA is filed under the name Schizaphis graminum (greenbug). RNAcentral's name for it is "SSU rRNA". It matches the Rfam family "Eukaryotic small subunit ribosomal RNA", at positions 4 to 673 of the family's 1831-position model. The record is from RNAcentral. Lineage: Eukaryota; Metazoa; Arthropoda; Insecta; Hemiptera; Aphididae.
CUGGUUGAUCCUGCCAGUAGUCAUAUGCUUGUCUCAAAGAUUAAGCCAUGCAUGUCUCAGUGCAAGCCGCAUUAAGGUGAAACCGCGAAAGGCUCAUUAAAUCAGUUGUGGUUCCUUAGAUCGUACCCAAGUUACUUGGAUAACUGUGGUAAUUCUAGAGCUAAUACAUGCCGACAGAGUUCCGACCGUCGCGGCGCCCCCGGGCGUCGCGUGCGGGAGGAACGCUUUUAUUAGAUCAAAACCGGCCCGUCGCGGCGCGCUUCGCGCGCGUCCCGAUCGCGGCCCGCGCAAAGACCUGGUGACUCUGAAUAACUUCGAGCUGAUCGCACGGUCUCCGUACCGGCGACGCAUCUUUCAAAUGUCUGCCUUAUCAACUGUCGACGGUAGGUUCCAUGCCUACCGUGGUGGUAACGGGUAACGGGGAAUCAGGGUUCGAUUCCGGAGAGGGAGCCUGAGAAACGGCUACCACAUCCAAGGAAGGCAGCAGGCGCGCAAAUUACCCACUCCCGGAACGGGGAGGUAGUGACGAAAAAUAACGAUACGGGACUCAUCCGAGGCCCCGUAAUCGGAAUGAGAACACUUUAAAACCUUUAAACGAGGAUCAAUUGGAGGGCAAGUCUGGUGCCAGCAGCCGCGGUAAUUCCAGCUCCAAUAGCGUAUAUUAAAGUUGUUGCGGUUAAAAAGCUCGUAGUCGGAUCUGUGUCUGGGCGGUGCCGGACCACCCUGGCGGU